This 96-nucleotide ribosomal RNA is filed under the name uncultured bacterium. RNAcentral's name for it is "partial 16S ribosomal RNA". It matches the Rfam family "Bacterial small subunit ribosomal RNA", at positions 395 to 508 of the family's 1533-position model. The record is from RNAcentral.
CUCCGCGUGCAGGAUGAAGGCCUUCGGGUCGUAAACUGCUUUUAUUGGUGAAGAAUAUGACGGUAACCAAUGAAUAAGGGUCGGCUAACUACGUGC